CUGGAGGGAGGAAAACAAACAUCUGGACUAUUAUACCUAAGAAAUUGGGUAAAGUGAAUAUCACUGUAGUUGCUGAGUCCAAACAAAGCAGUGCUUGCCCAAAUGAAGGAAUGGAGCAGCAAAAGCUAAACUGGAAAGACACUGUGGUCAAAAGCUUCUUAGUAGAGCCUGAAGGUAUUGAAAAGGAAAGGACCCAGAGUUUCCUUAUCUGUACAGAAGGUGCCAAAGCCUCCAAGCAGGGAGUUUUGGACUUGCCAAAUGAUGUAGUAGAAGGGUCAGCCAGAGGCUUUUUCACUGUUGUGGGGGAUAUUCUAGGACUUGCCAUGCAGAAUCUGGUUGUUCUCCAAAUGCCCUAUGGAGGUGGAGAGCAGAA
RNAcentral lists this long non-coding RNA (373 nucleotides) under Homo sapiens (human). Its description in RNAcentral is "novel transcript". The record is from RNAcentral. Lineage: Eukaryota; Metazoa; Chordata; Mammalia; Primates; Hominidae.